AAUGAACGCUGGCGGCGUGCUUAACACAUGCAAGUCGCACGAGAACGCUUCAGCUUGCUGAAGCUAGUAAAGUGGCGCACGGGUGAGUAACGCGUGGGUAAUCUACCUCCAAAUUGGGGAUAACAUUGCGAAAGCGAUGCUAAUACCGAAUAAUAUCUCAAAUACUUCGGUUUUUGAGAUCAAAGGUGGCCUCUCCAUGGAAGCUACUGUUAGGAGAUGAGCCCGCGUACCAUUAGCUUGUUGGUAGGGUAAUGGCCUACCAAGGCAACGAUGGUUAGCUGGUCCGAGAGGAUGAUCAGCCACACUGGAACUGACACACGGUCCAGGCUCCUACGGGAGGCAGCAGUGAGGAAUUUUGCGCAAUGGGGGAAACCCUGACGCAGCAACGCCGCGUGAGUGAUGAAGGCCUUCGGGUCGUAAAGCUCUGUCAAGUGAGAAGAACCUGCCCUGUGCUAAUAUCACCGGGCACUGACGGUACCACUGAAGGAAGCACCGGCUAACUCCGUGCCAGCAGCCGCGGUAACACGGGGGGUGCAAGCGUUAUUCGGAAUCACUGGGCGUAAAGAGCGCGUAGGCGGUCUCUUAAGUCAGAUGUGAAAGCCCGGGGCUCAACCCCGGAAGUGCAUUUGAAACGAAGGGACUUGAGUAUGGGAGAGGGAAGUGGAAUUCCUGGUGUAGCGGUGAAAUGCGUAGAUAUCAGGAGGAACACCGGUGGCGAUGGCGACUUCCUGGACCAAUACUGACGCUGAGGCGCGAAGGCGUGGGGAGCAAACAGGAUUAGAUACCCUGGUAGUCCACGCAGUAAACGUUGAACACUAGGUGUAGCGGGUAUUGACCCCUGCUGUGCCGCAGCUAACGCAUUAAGUGUUCCGCCUGAGGAGUACGGCCGCAAGGCUAAAACUCAAAGGAAUUGACGG
Molecule: ribosomal RNA, 917 nt
Filed under: uncultured bacterium
Lineage: Bacteria
Description: bacterial SSU rRNA
Rfam family: Bacterial small subunit ribosomal RNA
Source: RNAcentral